This 780-nucleotide ribosomal RNA is filed under the name uncultured bacterium. RNAcentral describes it as "bacterial SSU rRNA". It matches the Rfam family "Bacterial small subunit ribosomal RNA", at positions 54 to 827 of the family's 1533-position model. The record is from RNAcentral.
UAUGCAGUCGACGGUCCUAUUUUGAAUUCUUGAGACUUCGGUUGAUAGUUUUCUGUUUAGGAUAGUGGCAAACGGGUGAGUAAUACGUAGAUAACUUGCCUUGAAGUCGGGAAUAGCUCGUCGAAAGACGGGGUAAUAUCCGAUAGUCUCUAUUCACUUCGUGUGUUUUAGAGUAAAGUUUUUCGCUUCAAGAGAGGUCUGCGUCCUAUCAGCUAGUUGGUGAGGUAAUGGCUCACCAAGGCUAAGACGGGUAGCUGGUGUGAGAGCACGGUCAGCCACCAUGGAACUGAGACACGGUCCAUACUCCUACGGGAGGCAGCAAUUAGGAAUCUUGCGCAAUGGGGGCAACCCUGACGCAGCGACACAGCGUGGAGGAUGAAGGUCUUCGGAUUGUAAACUCCUUUUAUAUGGGAAGAAUAGAUGACUGUACCAUAUGAAUAAGUACCUGCUAACUACGUGCCAGAAGCAUCGGUGAUGCGUAGGGUACGAACGUUAUCCGGAUUUACUGGGCGUAUAGAGAUGCGUAGGCGGUUUGAUAAGUCUUGAGUUAAAGACCUCGGCUCAACCGAGGGAGAGCUUUCGAAACUAUCAGACUUGAGACAUGGAGGGGUGAACGGAAUUCCGAGUGGAGUGGUGAAAUACGUUGAUAUUCGGAGGAACAUCAGUGGCGAAGGUGGUUCACUGGCCAUUGUCUGACGCUAAGGCUCGAAAGCGUGGGUAGCAAAACGGAUUAGAUACCCGUGUAGUCCACGCUGUAAACUAUGGAUGCUAGGUGUUUGG